GGAUUAGAUACCCUGGUAGUCCUAGCCGUAAACGAUGUGCACUAGGUGUCGGGCCCUCUGGGUUCGGUGCCGCAGUUAACACACUAAGUGCACCACCUGGGGAGUACGGUCGCAAGACUGAAACUCAAAGGAAUUGACGGGGACCCGCACAAGCGGUGGAGCAUGUGGUUUAAUACGACGCUACGCGUGGAACCUUACCAGGACUUGACAUGUAUUUGAAAUCCUAUUGAAAGAUAGGACCUGUCCUAAAGACACAGAUACACAGGUGUUGCAUGGCUGUCGUCAGCUCGUGCCG
Molecule: ribosomal RNA, 295 nt
Filed under: uncultured bacterium
Lineage: Bacteria
Description: partial 16S ribosomal RNA
Rfam family: Bacterial small subunit ribosomal RNA
Source: RNAcentral